Molecule: long non-coding RNA, 2990 nt
Organism: Ictalurus punctatus (channel catfish)
Lineage: Eukaryota; Metazoa; Chordata; Actinopteri; Siluriformes; Ictaluridae
Source: Ensembl
UAUAUAUAUAUAUAUAUAUAUAUAUAUAUAUAUAAUCUAAAAAAAUACUUUUAGUAAAAUUAGAGGGAUCAUAAAAAUCCCAUGUUGUUUUAUAUUUAGUACUAUCCUGAAUAAACUAUUUCACAUAACAGAUGGUUACAUAUAUACAUAUACACAAGACAAGACAGGAGCUGAAUUUAUAAAAAUUACCCCUUUAAAAAAUUUACAAACCCUUGAUUCUUACUUAAUCCCGUGUGUCGUUACCUGGAUGAUCAACGACUGUGUUUAUGUUCUGUGAGAGUUGUUCACGAGUCGCUUGUUCGUCCUGAGCAGUUAAACUGCCCACUGUUCUUCAGAAAAAUCCUCCAGGUCUGGCACAUUCUUUACUUUUCCAGCAUAUUUGAGCCUUUUCCAACAGCGGCUAUAUGAUGUCCAGAUCCAUCUUUUCACACUGAGGACGACUGAGGGACUCGAACACGACUAUUACAUGAGGUGCAAACAUUCACUGAUCCUCAAGAAGACAACAGGAUACAUUAAGAGCCAUGGGGGUGGGGGGGUUAACAAAAGUUAACAUACCCCUUGUAGAAUCGGCAAAAUCUUAAUACUCUUAACAACAUAAGAAUCAGUCAUAAAUCAAAAAAAUCAAGAAGGUAUCAGGAUAAACUUUUGAACAGGAUGAUCGGUUAGUAUUUUGUCUUCUGAGUGACAUAUAACUAUCUUAUUCAUCGUCUGAAGGGCAGGACUAAAUGAAAAAAAUAAGCUCUUUAAACAAAAUAAUAACAAUUUACACCGAUCAUCCUGUUCAACAGUUUAUCAUGAUACCUUCUUGAUUUUUUUGAUUUAUGAUUUAUGAUUGAUUCUUAUUUUGUUAAAGAGUAUUAAGAUUUUGCCGAUUCUACAAGGGGUAUGUUAACUUUUGGGCACAACUGUACAUAUCAGAAGAUCCAUGACCUGUGAUUUGCAUUAUGAUCUAACAUGCAAUAAUGCCAGACAAGCCAUGCAUGUGAAGCGCAUACGGCUUUAACUGACUUUUCUCAGAUUUAUUAAAUGUUUUUUUGAUGCAUGCGCAGUCAGGUCAGAUAAAGCAAGGCCUUUUUUUUUUUUCCCUCCUCAGUAUGUUUAGUAGAAUGGUGUUGCUGCCAUAUUGAACUAAUGACCACGAGAGUCGAUGUAGAAUUAGAUCAAGCAGGCGCACUUGUGUCUUCCUGACAUUAUGAAAAUGUUUUAUUGAUGACUCAUUAUAGGCAGUCCGGCAUGAGGUGAGGGAUUUUUUUUUUUCUUUUUCUUUUCGAUUUGCCCUAAUAGAAGAUGCAAAGUCUAAUAAUGAUAAUGCCUCCUGAAUAAUUAAUACCAAAACCUCAUCCAUCUCAGUGCGGGAUAUGUACAUAUUUUAGGCGCUCAUUUGCAUAUUCAGAACAAACAGCAGCACAAAGCCAUUAGAGGACCAACGAGCUUCUUCUGUGUGACGCAUAAUAAUGAGAAGCUUUUGAGUGAUUGGUUUUUGAGAAUUAAGACAAGGAGGGGGGGUGGGGGGUUGAAACAGGCUCGGAGCUUUAAAGCCGGAGCACUGAAAUACCUCACACUGGUUCUUAUUUCAGUGCCUCGCACCCAUACUGCGCAUACGACAGCACACUGCACCGGAGGCUAGAGGAGUGUUUGCAAGUCAUUAGUGAUUUGUAAAUGAUAUUUGCUCCCUUGUGACAUGUCAUUUGAAAUGCUAUUUCUAAUAAUAAUACCCAGUGAUAUUAAAAAUAAGAGUUUAAUUAUCUUUAUGUUAUUGCAUCUUUCACAAAUUCAGUCUUGAGUGUUUAAAAGACUCAAUGACUUUCAAUAUUAGUUGUGAUCCAAAGUCGCAUCUAACAAAUAUUACACAUUCCUAAAAAGUUUAUUUUUCUUUCUUUCUUUCUUUCUUUUUUUUUCUUUCUCUCUAUCGCCACAGAAUUUUGCCCCCGAAUUGGCAAAGGAUAAACAUUGUGUGGAAUCGAUUGGGAAAGUGAAUCUUCAGCUGUCUGAGGUCAUGGGGAGCCCAGGGGACUUGGGGCACAUUCACACAGUAUGAACAAUUUAGAAACGCCAAUCAGCCUACAACGCAUGUCUUUGGAUUGGGGGAGGAAACCGGAGUGCCAGGAGGAAGCCUCCAAGGCACAGGGAGAGCAUGCAAGCUCUACGCAUACAGGGCAGAGGCAGGAAUCGCACCCCCAACCCUGGAGGUGUGAGGUAGGUGUGCUAAUUACGCCCUCCCAAGUCAACCAAUUAACUACAAACCACAUCACAUGUCCAAUCACAAGUAAUGUAUCUCGUUCACAGUCUCCUGCUUCUGCAUACAUUUGCAUUUAUUCGUUUAUCAGAUGUUUUAAUCCAAAUCGACGUGUACAAAUCGAAAGUACAAAUGAGGAAAUACAAACAAAGCGAUAUAUCAAGCAUAGCACAAUACAAGCACACCUGUUCAAGUCUGCCUUUACAUAACCCCGCCUUCACCUGUUCAUUAUGAAGUGUUGCUCCUGAUUUGUGCCAGCGAUGAGUCAAAGCAUUGUAUUCUGCUUCUGACUUCAGUUUUGCUAAAAUCCUGGUAUUGUCUCUGCUUAAUUCAGCCUGUUUGUAGAUCACCUAACUAUCUACCACUUUCCCCAAUUCUGACUACUUGCCUUUAACCUUUGGUAUGUUCUCCCUGGUUUUAUAUUAUCAUAUCAGCCCUGCAGUCGCAUCCAAGACUGCACAAUUCCUGACAAUAACUGAGGGCUUUCUUUUCUCACGGCUGUAGGUGCAGGUGCAUCAGUGCUUUUGUGUAACCACACUUUAGAAAGAAAUGCUUAUUGUUGCAGUUGAAACAUGACCUGGGUGAUUUACUACAUGGGUGCCCAGGGCCAUUAGCUCACAUUUCAGUUUGGGUUUUAUUAUUAUUACUCUGCUAUUGUUGACCGGAUUUAUUUGCUUUGCAGAUACAGUAUUCCACAAAUAGAUGUUGGGAGGAAUGAGAGAGCGAGAGAGAGAGAGAGAGAGAGAGAGAGAGA